CCUACGGGGGGCAGCAGUGAGGAAUAUUGGUCAAUGGGCGGAAGCCUGAACCAGCCAAGUAGCGUGCAGGAUGACGGCCCUACGGGUUGUAAACUGCUUUUAUACGGGAAUAACGCGCCUUACGUGUAGGGCUUUGCAUGGACCGUAUGAAUAAGGACCGGCUAAAUCCGUGCCAGCAGCCGCGGUAAUACGGAAGGUCCGGGGGUUAUCCGGAUUUUUUGGGUUUAAAGGGAGCGUAGGCCGCAUGUCAAGCGUGCUGUGAAAUAUCCGGGCUCAACCCGUGCCUUGCAGCGCGAACUGGCGUGCUUGAGUCCGCGGAAAGCAGGCGGAAUUCGUGGUGUAGCGGUGAAAUGCUUAGAUAUGACGAAGAACCCCGAUUGCGAAGGCAGCUUGCUGCAGCCGAACUGACGCUGAUGCUCGAAAGCGCGGGUAUCGAACAGGAUUAGAUACCCCUGUAGUC
Molecule: ribosomal RNA, 460 nt
Filed under: uncultured bacterium
Lineage: Bacteria
Description: partial 16S ribosomal RNA
Rfam family: Bacterial small subunit ribosomal RNA
Source: RNAcentral